UACGAAGGGGGCUAGCGUUGCUCGGAAUUACUGGGCGUAAAGCGCACGUAGGCGGCUCUUUAAGUCGGGGGUGAAAUCCUGGAGCUCAACUCCAGAACUGCCUUCGAUACUGUAGAGCUUGAGUUCGGGAGAGGUGAGUGGAACUGCGAGUGUAGAGGUGAAAUUCGUAGAUAUUCGCAAGAACACCAGUGGCGAAGGCGGCUCACUGGCCCGAUACUGACGCUGAGGUGCGAAAGCGUGGGGAGCGAACCGG
This 253-nucleotide ribosomal RNA is filed under the name uncultured bacterium. RNAcentral's name for it is "partial 16S ribosomal RNA". It matches the Rfam family "Bacterial small subunit ribosomal RNA", at positions 524 to 776 of the family's 1533-position model. The record is from RNAcentral.